GAUGAACGCUGGCGGCGUGCCUAAUACAUGCAAGUCGAGCGAACGGACGAGAAGCUUGCUUCUCUGAUGUUAGCGGCGGACGGGUGAGUAACACGUGGAUAACCUACCUAUAAGACUGGGAUAACUUCGGGAAACCGUAGCUAAUACCGGAUAAUAUUUUGAACCGCAUGGUUCAAAAGUGAAAGACGGUCUUGCUGUCACUUAUAGAUGGAUCCGCGCUGCAUUAGCUAGUUGGUAAGGUAACGGCUUACCAAGGCAACGAUGCAUAGCCGACCUGAGAGGGUGAUCGGCCACACUGGAACUGAGACACGGUCCAGACUCCUACGGGAGGCAGCAGUAGGGAAUCUUCCGCAAUGGGCGAAAGCCUGACGGAGCAACGCCGCGUGAGUGAUGAAGGUCUUCGGAUCGUAAAACUCUGUUAUUAGGGAAGAACAUAUGUGUAAGUAACUGUGCACAUCUUGACGGUACCUAAUCAGAAAGCCACGGCUAACUACGUGCCAGCAGCCGCGGUAAUACGUAGGUGGCAAGCGUUAUCCGGAAUUAUUGGGCGUAAAGCGCGCGUAGGCGGUUUUUUAAGUCUGAUGUGGAAGCCCACGGCUCAACCGUGGAGGGUCAUUGGAAACUGGAAAACUUGAGUGCAGAAGAGGAAAGUGGAAUUCCAUGUGUAGCGGUGAAAUGCGCAGAGAUAUGGAGGAACACCAGUGGCGAAGGCGACUUUCUGGUCUGUAACUGACGCUGAUGUGCGAAAGCGUGGGGAUCAAACAGGAUUAGAUACCCUGGUAGUCCACGCCGUAAACGAUGAGUGCUAAGUGUUAGGGGGUUUCCGCCCCUUAGUGCUGCAGCUAACGCAUUAAGCACUCCGCCUGGGGAGUACGACCGCAAGGUUGAAACUCAAAGGAAUUGACGGGGACCCGCACAAGCGGUGGAGCAUGUGGUUUAAUUCGAAGCAACGCGAAGAACCUUACCAAAUCUUGAGAUCCUUUGACAACUCUAGAGAUAGAGCCUUCCCCUUCGGGGGACAAAGUGACAGGUGGUGCAUGGUUGUCGUCAGCUCGUGUCGUGAGAUGUUGGGUUAAGUCCCGCAACGAGCGCAACCCUUAAGCUUAGUUGCCAUCAUUAAGUUGGGCACUCUAAGUUGACUGCCGGUGACAAACCGGAGGAAGGUGGGGAUGACGUCAAAUCAUCAUGCCCCUUAUGAUUUGGGCUACACACGUGCUACAAUGGACAAUACAAAGGGCAGCGAAACCGCGAGGUCAAGCAAAUCCCAUAAAGUUGUUCUCAGUUCGGAUUGUAGUCUGCAACUCGACUACAUGAAGCUGGAAUCGCUAGUAAUCGUAGAUCAGCAUGCUACGGUGAAUACGUUCCCGGGUCU
RNAcentral lists this ribosomal RNA (1372 nucleotides) under uncultured bacterium. RNAcentral describes it as "bacterial SSU rRNA". It matches the Rfam family "Bacterial small subunit ribosomal RNA", at positions 28 to 1381 of the family's 1533-position model. The record is from RNAcentral.